GCUUCACUUUGUUGCCCAGGCUGGUCUCCAACUCCUGGCCUCUGGCGAUCCUCCUGCCUCAGCCUCCCAAAGUGCUGGGAUGACAGGCAUGAGCCCUCACACCUGCCCUAACAUUUUGAUGGAUGAAGCCAAAUUGCCCUUCCAGAAGCUUCUGCUUGUGCCCAGGCACAUUGACAUGAGGGCCUCGAAUCCUGCCUGAGCUCCAUGAAGUCUGCAGUGACUUGAGUUGGCGUGAGUGGAAACCUCUGCCUCCACAGUGAAAUGUCACUGACUACUGGAAAUUAGGCGAAUGCAUUAGUGCACAGCAGAGGUGGCACGGGGAGCGGUCAAUGUGUGUCAGUCUCCCCCGGCGGAUGGUGGCGAGCUGAGAUGAGGUUGUGUCUGCCUUUCGGAGGUGGGGGAGAGCUUGGCCGAUGAAGAGGGGUGGGGGUGGCGUGGUACGGGAGCUUGGUUGAGUAGAAGGAAUGGGUGAGGGGGAGGUGGACCAGGAGGAUUCCUGAUACAAUAUAAAGACCCAGCUACUGGAGCAGGGGCGCAUUUGCUGAC
Molecule: long non-coding RNA, 546 nt
Organism: Pan troglodytes (chimpanzee)
Lineage: Eukaryota; Metazoa; Chordata; Mammalia; Primates; Hominidae
Exons: 2
Source: RefSeq, a predicted model, not a curated record